Molecule: small RNA, 613 nt
Filed under: Pongo abelii (Sumatran orangutan)
Lineage: Eukaryota; Metazoa; Chordata; Mammalia; Primates; Hominidae
Description: processed transcript
Source: RNAcentral
GGGACUGAGGGACCAAGAGAAACAGAGACGCAGGCCCGGGACUGGGGCACCGGGGUGGGAGAUGGAAAUGGAAAACCUGGGCCAGGACUGAACCCAGGCCUGGGACUGAGUUCUGGAAAUAGAGUGCGGAUGGCGGCUUGGGGGCCCAGGGCCAGACACGCAGGCUUAUGGAUUGGGGACCAAUGGAUGGAGACCCAGGUCCAGGUCUCGGGGACCCAGGGACAGAGACCCAGGCCCAAGACAGGAGGACAUCUAGGCCUCUGUGCUUAAACCUGAUUUGAGGUUCCCAUAAUGGGGCCAGGGCAGGUUUGGGGGUGAGGCAGACGUCCUGGACCCGAGAGAGCCGCUGGGGAUAGGGGGGCAGAUGUAGUUCCUAAGGGCCCUGCACAUACAGCGGCUGCGCCCCAAACCCGAAGCCAGGCCCCGGGGUGGCCUGGUCCCGUUGGCCGAGGUCUCAGGCUGCUGCACCCUGCGAAGCCGCAGCCCCUCAGACUCAGCGGCCUACUUCUGCAUCUACACCUACCCUCGGGGCCGGCGCGGGGCCCGGCGCAGAGCCACUCGCACCUUCCGGGCAGAUGGGGCCGCCACCUACGAAGAAAACCGUGCCGAGGCC